AAUAGGCGGGGCGUGGUCGCUGGGCUGGUUCCUGUGGCGGUAGGCGGGCUGGGAGAGAGAGGCCGGUGGGAGUGGGUGCACCACGUUAUCACCAGAUACAGACAACUUUGACAUUUCCAGAGCUUUUUGGCUCCAGGGAGGGAAAGGAAGAAUAUACAAAAGACAGCAUCAGAAAGACACUCCAGUUUUCAGGGCAUUUAAUUCAUAUCCGUUUUUCUUGAUAUUUAAAGCUGUUCAUCCAUAAAAUUAUUUAUAUGUUCUUGUCUACUGAGAGCAGUUAAUAGUCACUCAAAAUCUCACUACCCAGAAAUAACUUCAAUAUUUGGAAACGCAGAUACAUUCAGAUACUUUAUCCUGGUAAAGAGAAGGCUGCCUGGGGAAAGAAAUGGACCCAUUUAACAAUGAAGUUAUUGCUGAUAGUUUUGUGCCACUUCAUCGCUCUCAGCUGAUGUGAUACCAAGUAACUCUCUGCACAGAUGGCUGGUGGAACCCAUCCAGCAUCUGCAAAGUCCAUCCCUGUUUUCUUUCCCAAACAUUUUAUUUGGAAAUCUUGUUUGGCAAACUUCCUGAGACUCUGCCUAGCUGUUCAAAGUACAUAUUUCCAAGCUAUCUCAUUUGGACCUUCCAUAAAAAAGAGCCAGCAAAGUGCCUUCUUACUUGGCACAAAAAUUGCAGCCACAGACUGAAGCGAGUUUUAGGUUCCUGGCCAAAACUUUACAAGAAUUUUAUCUUAGAUGCUUCCAUACUGGACUGUUUUACAUAGUCAUCAUUAACAUCUGACGCCUUCACAUCAUGACAGGAUCGAAGCUCCUAGUCUGUAUCAACUGGUAACUUUGCCAAAAGUUCCCUCUUGUUCUUAUUUUCCUUUGUGUCCUAACCAUCGUGGACAUGGUUCUUAUUCAGACUGCAGGGUGCUGAGCUUUUUAAGGAGAGCUACCUGCUGGACAAUGUCUCCCUGCACUUAAUGAUGAAUCAAGAGAUUACUUUUGAAUGAAUAAUCUUUUUUUCUUCUUCCGAUAGAUCAUGUAAAGGAUGUUAAGCAUUUUAAAAACCAAAACCCAAAACCCUUUGUAUAUUUGGGGACUUAGAAAGAGGUCAUGCUAGUAAUUCAAUUCCAGAUACAACUUCCACAAAUUUCUUAAAGACUCUGACAGACUGGAAAUUUCGGUCUCACAUUCCCAGAACAUUACCUCAAAUUUCUCCUCAAUGUAAAUCAGUUUCCCAGAACCUCAGUAAUAAAAGAAAAUGCACUAA
This is a non-coding RNA of Vicugna pacos (alpaca), 1254 nucleotides long. Lineage: Eukaryota; Metazoa; Chordata; Mammalia; Artiodactyla; Camelidae. The record is from RefSeq and is a predicted model, not a curated record.